GUAUACCUACGGGACGCAGCAGUGGGGAAUAUUGCACAAUGGGGGAAGCCCUGAUGCAGCAACGCCGCGUGAGUGAAGAAGUAUUUCGGUAUGUAAAGCUCUAUCAGCAGGGAAGAAGAAAGACGGUACCCGACUAAGAAGCCCCGGCUAACUACGUGCCAGCAGCCGCGGUAAUACGUAGGGGGCAAGCGUUAUCCGGAUUUACUGGGUGUAAAGGGAGCGUAGACGGAGGAGCAAGUCUGAUGUGAAAAUCCGGGGCCCAACCCCGGAACUGCAUUGGAAACUGUUUAUCUGGAGUGUCGGAG
RNAcentral lists this ribosomal RNA (305 nucleotides) under uncultured bacterium. Its description in RNAcentral is "bacterial SSU rRNA". It matches the Rfam family "Bacterial small subunit ribosomal RNA", at positions 333 to 654 of the family's 1533-position model. The record is from RNAcentral.